This 207-nucleotide ribosomal RNA is filed under the name uncultured bacterium. RNAcentral describes it as "partial 16S ribosomal RNA". It matches the Rfam family "Bacterial small subunit ribosomal RNA", at positions 568 to 774 of the family's 1533-position model. The record is from RNAcentral.
CACGUAGGCGGCUUUCUAAGUCGGGGGUGAAAUCCUGGAGCUCAACUCCAGAACUGCCUUCGAUACUGGAAAGCUCGAGUCCGGGAGAGGUGAGUGGAACUGCGAGUGUAGAGGUGAAAUUCGUGGAUAUUCGCAAGAACACCAGUGGCGAAGGCGGCUCACUGGCCCGGUACUGACGCUGAGGUGCGAAAGCGUGGGGAGCAAACA